GUGGGGAAUAUUGCACAAUGGGGGAAACCCUGAUGCAGCAACGCCGCGUGAGUGAUGACGGUCUUCGGAUUGUAAAACUCUGUCUUCAGGGACGAUAAUGACGGUACCUGAGGAGGAAGCCACGGCUAACUACGUGCCAGCAGCCGCGGUAAUACGUAGGUGGCAAGCGUUGUCCGGAUUUACUGGGCGUAAAGGGAGCGUAGGUGGAUAUUUAAGUGGGAUGUGAAAUACUCGGGCUUAACCUGGGUGCUGCAUUCCAAACUGGAUAUCUAGAGUGCAGGAGAGGAAAGUAGAAUUCCUAGUGUAGCGGUGAAAUGCGUAGAGAUUAGGAAGAAUACCAGUGGCGAAGGCGACUUUCUGGACUGUAACUGACACUGAGGCUCGAAAGCGUGGGGAGCAAACAGGAUUAGAUACCCGUGUAGUCC
Molecule: ribosomal RNA, 425 nt
Filed under: uncultured bacterium
Lineage: Bacteria
Description: partial 16S ribosomal RNA
Rfam family: Bacterial small subunit ribosomal RNA
Source: RNAcentral